Long non-coding RNA from Rhodamnia argentea, 938 nucleotides. RefSeq lists it as uncharacterized. The record is from RefSeq and is a predicted model, not a curated record. The transcript has 3 exons. NCBI's taxonomy places the organism in Eukaryota, Viridiplantae, Streptophyta, Magnoliopsida, Myrtales, Myrtaceae.
UAGCCCGUCAGACAAAGAUUCUAUCUUUUUGCUUGCACCUUCCUACCAAACAGUUAGACAAGACGACGCUGCUCGUUCAAGAUUCACUACGAUCCAUCACGAGCCCUGAAUCACUCGUCAAUCUUACUCGGGAUUUAGUUUUUCUCGACGCGAUUUCUUUUGCAAGAUCUGGCGCCGAUUGGAUUGGAUCUGAAUCGAGAUAGCCGAGUAAUGAUUGACGAGAGCCCCUUCAUGGGUCGUGUUCUUCAAGAUUCAAAUUUUCGAUUCUUGCCUUGCCUCGGUCUCGGAUCGCAGGAGCAUUGCCUUGUCUAUGUUGCAUAAAGUAAACAUUGAAACGAGGGGAGGAGAGAUUGGAUGGGUGACGUAUUAAUUUAGCAUGAAAGCAAUUCCGGCAAUUUCUGUACAUUUUGAUGCAGUUGAAAAUCAUUCAGUUGGAAAAGAUGCAACUUUAAGAAAUUCGUUUGGAGAAACGAGGGAAUCACUUCCCCAAGUGCUGCAACUGGCCAGCCUCCUUCAUUUACAUCGAAAGAUGGCUUAUAGGGGAAUGGUUAGCAUGAAAAUUACUUUGGUAAUACAUUUCAUCACAUAGCAACAAACCGUCAGAAGUUGGAACCGAUCCUGAUUGGUUUUAAUGGUGCUUAUGUGUUGAUUUGUAGGAGCACUGUGUCAAGCUCAUAUAUAUCUUAAUCCUGAAGCUAAGUGAGCUCCUAUAAUGCAGUAAAAUAUUCGAAAGAAUAAGAAUUGAGCAUAGAUAAAGAGCACUUUUGAUUACUUCAGUCCUGCUAAAAAUUUUACUAGCACUCCUAAUAGAUAAGUACUAUUGUAAGUGGAAGUUUAACUGGAAGUAAUGCAUGAGGGAGCUGAAGACCUUGCUUUUAGCUAUGGACCUUUAGGGAAUGACUUUUGACUGGUUUGUGUUAUCGUAGGGUCGGAAGAAG